AAUUUUGGACAAUGGGGGAAACCCUGAUCCAGCCAUCCCGCGUGUAUGAUGAAGGCCUUCGGGUUGUAAACUUCUUUUAUACAGGAGUAAAGUGAGUCACGUGUGACUUUUUGCAUGUACUGUAUGAAUAAGGAUCGGCUAACUCCGUGCCAGCAGCCGCGGUAAUACGGAGGAUCCAAGCGUUAUCCGGACUUAUUGGGUUUAAAGGGUUCGCAGGCGGAAGAUUAAGUCGGCGGUGAAAUUUGGCAGCUCAACUGUAAAAGUGCCAUCGAUACUGGUUUUCUUGAGUGUGGAUGAAGUAGGCGGAAUUUGUGGUGUAGCGGUGAAAUGCAUAGAUAUCACGAGGAACUCCGAUUGCGCAGGCAGCUUACUAGGCCAUAACUGACGCUCAGGCACGAAGGCGUGGGGAUCAAACAGG
RNAcentral lists this ribosomal RNA (418 nucleotides) under uncultured bacterium. RNAcentral's name for it is "partial 16S ribosomal RNA". It matches the Rfam family "Bacterial small subunit ribosomal RNA", at positions 360 to 776 of the family's 1533-position model. The record is from RNAcentral.